Vespa velutina is the source of this 1687-nucleotide long non-coding RNA. RefSeq lists it as uncharacterized. The record is from RefSeq and is a predicted model, not a curated record. The transcript has 5 exons. NCBI's taxonomy places the organism in Eukaryota, Metazoa, Arthropoda, Insecta, Hymenoptera, Vespidae.
ACCUUGUGCUUUUCCAAAGUUUGUACGAAUCUUUCUGGAUUUUUCGUUACUUCCCUGGGAACGACGACCAAUGUACGACCUUGUAACAAUGGACCCCAAAUUUCUGGCACACUAUCGACGAACGUUAAAGCCGUUUUAAAGAUGCAACGAUUCUCGUUCGUCCAAUAAGAUAAACGAACGAGUUGAAGAUUAGUUUAAAAAUUGCUUACCUUCCUUCUCGAGGAUCACUACAAUUGGUUCAGCCUCCUGCAAGAUAUGUUUCAACCUAGUCGAUGGGAAUUCAGGGUCCAAAGGGUACCCAUCUAAAAUCGGACAUCAAAAAUGGCAUUGAAAGAGGAUAUUAUUGUGAUCUGACGUAAUAAAAAUCUUGGUUUCUCAAUGAAAAUGAAUAUGAUAAACAUGCAAAGAGUAAAAUGACUACGAAAUAUGGAGACUAUGGCAUAGAUCAACCGUUUACGUAAACAUUUGUACAACAACAAGAAAGUUGAUCAACCAGUGCGUUGACUAUUAACGAAAGAUGCAAAGAGUAAAAUGACUACGAAAUAUGGAGGCUAUUGCAUAGAUCAACCGUUUACGUAAGCAUUUGUAGAAUAACACGAAAGUUGGUCAACCAGUGCGUUAAGGUAUUCAUACAGUAAAAUAUUAAAUGAAAUACUUAAGAAAUAAUGCACAUGUAAACGUUAUAUAUUCUAAACAAGAAAGUUCAUUAAAUCAAUAAAUUAACUAGCAGAGAGAGAAAGAGAGAGAGAGAGAGAGAGGGAGAGAGGGAGGGAGAGAGAGAAAGAGUGUCUAUACCGUGAAUUAUUCAACGAAAUAUUUAAGAAAUAAUGUACGUGUAAAUGUUAUAUUUUACUUUCAAUUGUUUAUAGCUUAUAAAGUUUCAAGAAACUAUUUAAUCUGGUCGCGUGAAUUAUGAUCGCUACGUUGCUGUAUAUCUAUAACAACUGGAAUUAUAUAUACUAUAACGACUAAUGUGACUAAUUGACACUUUUAGAAUGUCACACGAGACCAUCUUAAAGUAAAUUAAACGUCCUGAAUACUUGAGAAAAAUAAAAUUUAUGAGCAACAUUAGAACACAUAUUCAUGAAUAUAGGUAUGUAACGUGACACUGAACAUUUGUAAUAAGGAACACAAUAUAUGUUAAUUAGCUAUCAGUUACAAUAUUAUUGAGUUAUAUAAAGAUUAUCGAAAGAUAUCUUCGAUACUCACCACGUUGAUAUGACCAAUAUGACCAAAUACUCUUUUAAAAAUAUUUAUCUUCUUAUUAUCAAAAGAACGAUCGAUCAAUUCUUUAACUGUAUAAAAUUUUAUGAUACUGUAUGUAGACUCCUAUUUAUACUUUCACUUAUUGUACAUACUCUCGCCGUUUGAACUUUUUCUUUCACGAGCGGAUCUCACAAUGUUCUCUUUUGAGUAUAAAAACAAAAUUCUUUCAACUAGUUUUCUACGCAGUUAAAAAAAAAUAUAUAUAUAUACACGUAUAUUUAUAUUGAGAGGAAAAUAUGGGGGAAGCUCGAGUGUCUCUCUGUGUUAAAAUCUUUCUCUCCCUCUUUCACUUGAACUUUCUCUCUCUUUCCCUCUCUCUCUCUCUCUCUCUCUCUCUCUCUCUCUCUCUUUCUUUGUCUGUCUUUCUCUAUCAAAUGAGGCGCAUUUGAGCGUCACCAAUAAAUGGUGCUAUUAUCUUCUU